AGCGAACGCUGGCGGCAGGCCUAACACAUGCAAGUCGAACGAAGCCUUCGGGCUUAGUGGCGGACGGGUGAGUAACACGUGGGAACGUACCUUUUGGUUCGGAACAACUCAGGGAAACUUGAGCUAAUACCGGAUGAGCCCUUAGGGGGAAAGAUUUAUCGCCGAAAGAGCGGCCCGCGUUAGAUUAGCUAGUUGGUGAGGUAAAGGCUCACCAAGGCUACGAUCUAUAGCUGGUCUGAGAGGAUGAUCAGCCACACUGGGACUGAGACACGGCCCAGACUCCUACGGGAGGCAGCAGUGGGGAAUCUUGCGCAAUGGGCGAAAGCCUGACGCAGCCAUGCCGCGUGAAUGAUGAAGGUCUUAGGAUUGUAAAAUUCUUUUACCAGGGACGAUAAUGACGGUACCUGGAGAAAAAGCCCCGGCUAACUUCGUGCCAGCCGCCGCAGUAA
RNAcentral lists this ribosomal RNA (449 nucleotides) under uncultured bacterium. RNAcentral's name for it is "partial 16S ribosomal RNA". It matches the Rfam family "Bacterial small subunit ribosomal RNA", at positions 29 to 523 of the family's 1533-position model. The record is from RNAcentral.